Molecule: long non-coding RNA, 608 nt
Filed under: Homo sapiens (human)
Lineage: Eukaryota; Metazoa; Chordata; Mammalia; Primates; Hominidae
Description: non-protein coding lnc-IGFBP2-5:1
Source: RNAcentral
GAGAGGCUUGGUGAGGCCAGCCAUGAGGAGAGGCAGGCUUUGUUGAAAUAGCCAGCUUCCUCAUGUACAGCCCAGUGAGGCAGAUCAACCUGGAACCAAGGCCCACUGCUCCUAGAGGUCAAGGAUUAAGACCCUUCCCUGUUUGGGUUCUUCUCCCAGCAUAGGCCUGGAAGCGAGUGCUCAGAUUGCAAAGCCAGAAAGUGCUGGGCCUACAGGAACUGUAAACAGAGGGACAGAAUGAAUAUUCCUGGGGUACAGAGACUACAUCAAUGCCAGUGUUGAAAAACUUCCAAUAUGUGGGUCUGGAAAAAGUUCCCAGUGCAAAGCAGAGUUUUCCGGGCGGCUACCAUUCCUUCACAACCUGUCUAAGAGGGCAGAGGCUGAAGUCACCAGGCGAAGAUCUGUCUGCCGUGGCUAGUCUUGGGCUGUUCACCACAGGCCUGUCCUGAUGAUUAAUUAGAUUGUUUCAGUGUUUAGAGUAUUGUGAAGAUAUAGCACUACAUUAGAACAUUGCGUUGUAUUGGUUUGGGGAUAAUACUGUCAUGCAAAUAACAUGAAAACAAGCUUUUUAAGGUGAGGGUUCAGGAGCCCUGUGUAACUCUCUCCUC